This 468-nucleotide ribosomal RNA is filed under the name uncultured bacterium. RNAcentral describes it as "partial 16S ribosomal RNA". It matches the Rfam family "Bacterial small subunit ribosomal RNA", at positions 28 to 507 of the family's 1533-position model. The record is from RNAcentral.
GACGAACGCUGGCGGCGUGCUUAACACAUGCAAGUCGAACGGAAAGGCCCUGCUUUUGUGGGGUGCUCGAGUGGCGAACGGGUGAGUAACACGUGAGUAACCUGCCCUUGACUUUGGGAUAACUUCAGGAAACUGGGGCUAAUACCGGAUAGGAGCUCCUGCUGCAUGGUGGGGGUUGGAAAGUUUCGGCGGUUGGGGAUGGACUCGCGGCUUAUCAGCUUGUUGGUGGGGUAGUGGCUUACCAAGGCUUUGACGGGUAGCCGGCCUGAGAGGGUGACCGGCCACAUUGGGACUGAGAUACGGCGCAGUCUCCUACGUGAGGCAGCAGUGGGGAAUAUUGCACAGUGGGCGGAAGCCUGAGGCAGAAACGCCGCGUGCGGGAUGCCGGCCUUCGGGGUGUAAACCGCUUUCGCCUGUGACGAAGCGGGAGUGACGGUAAUGGGUAAAGAAGCACCGGCUAACUACGUG